ACUUUGAUAGAUUCAUUAAGGAGGCCAUCCUUAAAGAGAACACUCAGUAACAAGUUUCAACCGCUAGUUUUAAUUAAGUUCAAAACGUGUUUGUGAGUUUGGGAGUUAGUUUGUACUGUAUUCCACUAAAUUGUAUUGAAUAAUCGAUUAAUCUCAAAUGCAAUAAGAUUAAUCAUUGAGUUAUUAAUCAAGUGAUUGUUUAAUUAGGAUUUAAUUCCUAUAUAUUAGUCUUUUCUGCAGAAUUCGUGGCUGUUUUUUUAAUUCUGUUUUCAAAUAAAAAAAU
This 283-nucleotide unclassified non-coding RNA is filed under the name Hevea brasiliensis (rubber tree). The record is from RNAcentral. Lineage: Eukaryota; Viridiplantae; Streptophyta; Magnoliopsida; Malpighiales; Euphorbiaceae.